CCGCUCUUAGCCCAGUUGGAUAGAGCGUCAGACUCCGAUUCUGAAGGCCGGGGGUUCGAGUCCCCCAGAGCGGGCCA
Molecule: transfer RNA, 77 nt
Filed under: Clostridia bacterium
Lineage: Bacteria; Bacillati; Bacillota; Clostridia
Description: tRNA-Arg
Rfam family: tRNA
About the family: Transfer RNA (tRNA) molecules are approximately 80 nucleotides in length. Their secondary structure includes four short double-helical elements and three loops (D, anti-codon, and T loops).
Source: RNAcentral